GACGAACGCUGGCGGCGUGCCUAAUACAUGCAAGUAGAACGCUGAAGAGAGGAGCUUGCUCUUCUUGGAUGAGUUGCGAACGGGUGAGUAACGCGUAGGUAACCUCCCUGGUAGCGGGGGAUAACUAUUGGAAACGAUAGCUAAUACCGCAUAAAAUUGAUUAUUGCAUGAUACUUAAUUGAAAGAUGCAACUGCAUCACUACCAGAUGGACCUGCGUUGUAUUAGCUAGUUGGUGAGGUAACGGCUCACCAAGGCGACGAUACAUAGCCGACCUGAGAGGGUGAUCGGCCAGACGGAGAAUGGGACACGGCCCAGACUCCUACGGGGAGCAGCAGUAGGGAAUCUUCGGCAAUAGGGGGAACCCUGACAGAGCAACGACGCGUGAGUGAAGAAGGUUUUCGGAUCGUAAAGCUCUGUUGUAAGAGAAGAACGGGUGUGAGAGUGGAAAGUUCACACUGUGACGGUAUCUUACCAGAAAGGGACGGCUAACUACGUG
RNAcentral lists this ribosomal RNA (497 nucleotides) under uncultured bacterium. Its description in RNAcentral is "partial 16S ribosomal RNA". It matches the Rfam family "Bacterial small subunit ribosomal RNA", at positions 28 to 507 of the family's 1533-position model. The record is from RNAcentral.